AAGGGAGAAGUAUAUUGUGGAUGUGCGUCUAGCUUGAAACUAGAAAGAGGGGGUUCAAGUCCUCCGUCUCUU
RNAcentral lists this transfer RNA (72 nucleotides) under Quedenfeldtia moerens. RNAcentral describes it as "tRNA-Ser". It matches the Rfam family "tRNA". Rfam says of the family: Transfer RNA (tRNA) molecules are approximately 80 nucleotides in length. Their secondary structure includes four short double-helical elements and three loops (D, anti-codon, and T loops). The record is from RNAcentral. Lineage: Eukaryota; Metazoa; Chordata; Lepidosauria; Squamata; Sphaerodactylidae.